RNAcentral lists this transfer RNA (61 nucleotides) under Calamaria septentrionalis (Hong Kong dwarf snake). Its description in RNAcentral is "tRNA-Tyr". The record is from RNAcentral. Lineage: Eukaryota; Metazoa; Chordata; Lepidosauria; Squamata; Calamariidae.
GGUAGUAUGGCCGAUUAGGCGGUAAUCUGUAAAAUUACUUAUAGGAUAUUCCUUGCUGCCA